RNAcentral lists this ribosomal RNA (491 nucleotides) under uncultured bacterium. Its description in RNAcentral is "partial 16S ribosomal RNA". It matches the Rfam family "Bacterial small subunit ribosomal RNA", at positions 29 to 507 of the family's 1533-position model. The record is from RNAcentral.
AGUGAACGCUGGCGGUAGGCCUAACACAUGCAAGUCGAACGGCAGCACAGUAAGAGCUUGCUCUUACGGGUGGCGAGUGGCGGACGGGUGAGGAAUACAUCGGAAUCUACUUUUUCGUGGGGGAUAACGUAGGGAAACUUACGCUAAUACCGCAUACGACCUACGGGUGAAAGCAGGGGAUCUUCGGACCUUGCGCGAUUGAAUGAGCCGAUGUCGGAUUAGCUAGUUGGCGGGGUAAAGGCCCACCAAGGCGACGAUCCGUAGCUGGUCUGAGAGGAUGAUCAGCCCCACUGGAACUGAGACACGGUCCAGACUCCUAGGGGAGGCAGCAGUGGGAAUAUUGGACAAUGGGCGCAAGCCUGAUCCAGCCAUACCGCGUGGGUGAAGAAGGCCUUCGGGUUGUAAAGCCCUUUUGUUGGGAAAGAAAAGCAGCAGGUUAAUACCCCGCUGUUCUGACGGUACCCAAAGAAUAAGCACCGGCUAACUUCGUG